RNAcentral lists this ribosomal RNA (385 nucleotides) under uncultured bacterium. RNAcentral describes it as "bacterial SSU rRNA". It matches the Rfam family "Bacterial small subunit ribosomal RNA", at positions 28 to 419 of the family's 1533-position model. The record is from RNAcentral.
GACGAACGCUGGCGGCGUGCUUAACACAUGCAAGUCACGGGGGUUGGAGCAAUCCAGCAACCGGCGAACGGGUGCGUAACACGUGAGCGACCUGCCCAGUUGUGGGGGAUAGCCGGCCCAACGGCCGGGUAAUACCGCAUACGCGUCUUUGGGGGCAUCCCUGGGGACGGAAACCUACGGGGCGAUUGGAGGGGCUCGCGGCCUAUCAGCUAGUUGGCGAGGUAACGGCUCACCAAGGCGAUGACGGGUAGCUGGUCUGAGAGGAUGGCCAGCCACAUUGGGACUGAGAGACGGCCCAGACUCCUACGGGAGGCAGCAGUGGGGAAUCUUGCGCAAUGGCCGAAAAGGCUGACGCAGCGACGCCGCGUGGAGGAUGACGCCUCGU